GAAUUUCCGUAACGGGGAAGGAUGAGAAGCUUCGACUAAGGUUCGAUUCGAGCGUAGCGAGAAAGCGUUGCCGCAGGCAACGACCCGAAGGGCGAGGCGCAGCCGCCACCCGGCGACA
This 118-nucleotide small RNA is filed under the name Enterobacter sp. WCHEn090032. Its description in RNAcentral is "RtT sRNA". It matches the Rfam family "RtT RNA". From Rfam's summary of the family: This family represents a bacterial cis-regulatory element known as RtT RNA. Lineage: Bacteria; Pseudomonadati; Pseudomonadota; Gammaproteobacteria; Enterobacterales; Enterobacteriaceae. The record is from RNAcentral.